Molecule: RNA transcript, 2164 nt
Organism: Aquila chrysaetos chrysaetos
Lineage: Eukaryota; Metazoa; Chordata; Aves; Accipitriformes; Accipitridae
Gene: NDOR1
Gene name: NADPH dependent diflavin oxidoreductase 1
Exons: 17
Source: RefSeq, a predicted model, not a curated record
GGAGAUGUAAGCGGAAGCAGCGGGGCGGGGAUGGUGUACGGUGAGGGCACGGGCAAGGGGGAAAUCCUGUGAUGCUGCAGCCCCUCUCUGGAGGAGUUCAUCUGUAACGAGAUGGAACGGAAACUCCUUGUUCUUUUCGGCAGCCAAACUGGGACAGCUCAAGACACAGCUGAGAGAAUUGGCAGAGAAGCCAAGCGACGCCACUUUCAGUGCAGAGUGGAGGCGCUGGACAGCUAUGACGUGGCCAACCUCAUCAAUGAGCUGUUGGUGAUAUUUGUCUGUGCAACCACUGGCCAGGGUGACCCACCUGACAACAUGAAGAUGUUCUGGCGGUUUCUGUUCCGGAAGAACCUACCGCCUGGUUCCCUCUGCCAGCUGGACUAUGCUGUGCUGGGCCUUGGUGACUCCUCCUAUCCCAAGUUUAAUUUUGUUGCGAAGAAGCUGCACAAACGGGUGCUACAGCUUGGGGGCAACCCUCUGCUGCCAGUGGCGUUGGGAGACGACCAGCAUGACUUAGGGCCAGAUGCAGUGGUAGAUCCAUGGCUCCUGGCCUUAUGGGACAAGAUCCUUGCCUUGUAUCCUCUUCCUCCUGGCCUUGAGAUCAUCAGUCCAGAUGUACGCCCGCCCCCCAAAUACACCCUGCACUACCUGGCUGAGGACUCCCCGUACCCCAAUGAUGGCCUGCUCCAGCCAAUAGCACCUAGAGCUGUUCCCUCUGAGCUGCAUCCCUUUGCUGCCCGGGUGGUGUCCAAUCAACGGGUCACGGCAGAAUCCCAUUUCCAGGAUGUCCGGCUCAUCGAAUUCGAUGUCACAGGCUCGGGGAUCAUGUUCAGUGCUGGGGAUGUGGUGAUGAUCCAGCCCCAGAACUGCCCUGAAGAUGUGCAGCAGUUCUGCCAGCUCCUGCACCUGGAUCCAGACAGAUGCUUUGUGUUGAAGCCCACGGAGCCUGAUGCAUCCCUCCCUGCCCUCUUGCCACAGCCCUGCACCAUCCGGCACCUGGUCACCCACUACCUGGACAUCUCCUGUGUGCCACGGCGCUCCUUUUUCGAGCUCUUGUCUUACUUCUCUACGAAUGAGCUGGAGCGGGAGAAGCUACAGGAGUUCAGCUCUGCGCAGGGCCAGGAAGAGCUGUACAGCUACUGCAACCGGCCCCGCAGGACCACUCUCGAGGCCCUCUGGGAUUUCCCCCACACUACAUGUGCCAUUCCACCUGAAUACCUGCUGGACCUCAUCCCUCGCAUCAGACCCCGCGCCUUCUCCAUCGCCUCCUCCAUGCUGGCUCACCCUGAUCGGAUCCAGAUCCUCAUGGCAGUAGUGCGGUACAAGACACAGCUCAGUAAACCCCGCCGUGGUCUCUGUUCUACCUGGUUGGCUUCUCUCAACCCAGAGCAAGGUGAUUUCCGGGUACCUCUCUGGGUAAAGAAAGGAGGAAUGAAGUUCCCAGCUGACCCUGACACCCCUGUGAUCAUGAUUGGCCCUGGCACAGGGGUGGCACCUUUCCGAGCAGCGAUACAGGAGCGGGUAGCACAAGGACGUAGAGGGAACUGCUUGUUCUUUGGCUGCCGCCAGAAAUCCAAGGACUUCUACUGCCAGGCGGAGUGGGAAGAGCUGGUGACAAAGGGCUUCCUGACACUCUUCACUGCCUUCUCCAGGGACCAGUGAAGGGGGCACCUGCUGUUCCCCAAAUCUGGAGAGUGGCCCCAGAGUCUCCUCCUGCCCUCACAGACUCUGGAGGGAUGGGACUCACAUCGGAGUGUGCCUCCCAGCCUCCCUGCUUUGCCUGCUCCAUGGGGCAAAGCAGUUUGUCAUGAGGGUCUUCUGCCACCGAGUCCUUGCAGGGAGGCAAGCAAGAGCACAGCCAGGAGGAGAAGGUUUAUGUUCAGCACCGCAUCCAGGAGAACCAAAGGCUGGUGUGGGAGCUGCUGAACAGCAGGAACGCUCACAUCUACCUGGCUGGGAAUGCCAAGCAGAUGCCAGCGGCGGUGGCCGAAGCCCUGCAGUUGGUGUUGCAGCUGGAAGGUGGCCUGUCACCCUCCGAAGCAGAGGAGCAUUUAAUAGCCCUGGAACGGUCCCAGCGCUUCCAGUCUGAAACCUGGUCGUAAGCUGGCUCCCUGCCUCUGCCUUCCCUGCAAACUCUGCCUGAAUAAAGGAGCCAGCAAAACGA